CUCACCGCCGGGGCAUCAGCAUCCUGGAGAAGCUCAUCAAAACAUGCCCGGUGUGGCUGCAGCUGAGUCUGGGCCAGGCAGAGGUGGCCAGGAUCCUGCACCGGGUGGUGGCUGGGAUGUUCCUGGUUCGCCGGGACAGCAGCUCGAAGCAGCUGGUGCUCUGUGUCCACUUUCCUUCUCUGAACGAAAGCUCGGCCGAGGUGCUCGAAUACACCAUUAAGGAAGAAAAGUCGACAUUCCCCUUUUCAGCCUCCAACACUGGAGUUGGGCCAGGAAAAAAAUACAUCAUGAGAUAAUUUAACUCCAAGAACUUUAUUGUAAAACUUCAGUGGUGAAUUUCUUUUAAAAAAAAUAGAUCUUGAAUCAUA
This 368-nucleotide long non-coding RNA is filed under the name Homo sapiens (human). RNAcentral describes it as "HSALNT0214855". The record is from RNAcentral. Lineage: Eukaryota; Metazoa; Chordata; Mammalia; Primates; Hominidae.